UGAUCCCGGUCUUGCGCCGGGGGGCGGUGUCCUCCAAGGCCAUCGCCCAGGGAGGAUGACUUGGCUUCUCCAAGAAAUAUUAUGUAGAUUUCCAGCGUAACUCGUCAAACUCUCCAGCAGGAGACCCAGUGACAACAUUCUUGGAAAACGAAGAGACAGCAAGAAGCAUUGUGUCAUGAGGAGACAGUUUGGGCUGGCCCCAGCAUUCACAUGGUAUUGCUUCCCCCAGUUUGCUGCUGUCAGGCCCCUUGAAUUCUUCCCAAUACGCUCUCUAGAAUCACAGAGCUGCAGAGAUUUGAAAUGGCAUUGCUAUAAUCAGUACCAUGCAGUAUCCAUGAGUUGCAUGACUAUGGAAAUGGGAGUGACCUUGGGUCAUGCAGCUGAUCAUCUUGUAUCCAAGAAGGAUUCAUCUCAAGUUCUCAUUACAGAUUCAGCACCAGGUCUAUUGUGACUCCUGAUUUGAGAGCAUGUUCUGCCUUAAACAUGAUUUCUCUGACAGUAACCAAGUA
This is a long non-coding RNA of Carlito syrichta (Philippine tarsier), 509 nucleotides long. RefSeq lists it as uncharacterized. The transcript is spliced from 3 exons. NCBI's taxonomy places the organism in Eukaryota, Metazoa, Chordata, Mammalia, Primates, Tarsiidae. The record is from RefSeq and is a predicted model, not a curated record.